AGCGGCCCGAGUUUGGAGAAAGUAAUCCACUAAAAGAGGUGGUGAGUGUUCGUUGCAAGGCAAGGAGCCAGCGGAGGAGUAGCUACUUGUGAUUUUCUCGCCUAAGUUGCUUUGGCAGCCAGUAGCCUGGUGGCGAGGCAAAGUGCUGGGCACUCACUUACUUCCUGUCUUUCUUAUUCUAGUAUUAUGCAUGGUUGUUUUUUUUAGC
Molecule: long non-coding RNA, 208 nt
Organism: Dioscorea cayenensis subsp. rotundata (Guinea yam)
Lineage: Eukaryota; Viridiplantae; Streptophyta; Magnoliopsida; Dioscoreales; Dioscoreaceae
Exons: 3
Source: RefSeq, a predicted model, not a curated record